GGAGCGAACAGGAUUAGAUACCCUGGUAGUCCACGCCGUAAACGAUGCUAACUCGUUUUUGGUUUUUCGGAAUCAGAGACUAAGCGAAAGUGAUAAGUUAGCCACCUGGGGAGUACGUUCGCAAGAAUGAAACUCAAAGGAAUUGACGGGGGCCCGCACAAGCGGUGGAUUAUGUGGUUUAAUUCGAUGAUACGCGAGGAACCUUACCAAGACUUAAAUGGNAAAUGACAGAUUUAGAAAUAGAUCCUUCUUCGGACAUUUUUCAAGGUGCUGCAUGGUUGUCGUCAGCUCGUGCCGUGAGGUGUUAGGUUAAGUCCUGCAACGAGCGCAACCCCUGUCACUAGUUGCUACCAUUAAGUUGAGGACUCUAGUGAGACUGCCUACGCAAGUAGAGAAGAGGAAGGGGGGGAUGACG
RNAcentral lists this ribosomal RNA (415 nucleotides) under Epilithonimonas sp. RNAcentral's name for it is "bacterial SSU rRNA". It matches the Rfam family "Bacterial small subunit ribosomal RNA", at positions 765 to 1184 of the family's 1533-position model. Lineage: Bacteria; Pseudomonadati; Bacteroidota; Flavobacteriia; Flavobacteriales; Weeksellaceae. The record is from RNAcentral.